GGGGCUGAUUCUGGAUUCGACGGGAUUUGCGAAACCCAAGGUGCAUGCCGAGGGGCGGUUGGCCUCGUAAAAAGCCGCAAAAAAAUAGUCGCAAACGACGAAACCUACGCUUUAGCAGCUUAAUAACCUGCUUAGAGCCCUCUCUCCCUAGCCUCCGCUCUUAGGACGGGGAUCAAGAGAGGUCAAACCCAAAAGAGAUCGCGCGGAUGCCCUGCCUGGGGUUGAAGCGUUAAAACGAAUCAGGCUAGUCUGGUAGUGGCGUGUCCGUCCGCAGGUGCCAGGCGAAUGUAAAGACUGACUAAGCAUGUAGUACCGAGGAUGUAGGAAUUUCGGACGCGGGUUCAACUCCCGCCAGCUCCACAA
RNAcentral lists this transfer-messenger RNA (363 nucleotides) under Salmonella enterica. It matches the Rfam family "transfer-messenger RNA". From Rfam's summary of the family: Bacterial tmRNA, also known as 10Sa RNA or SsrA, is named for its dual tRNA and mRNA-like properties. Its role is to liberate the mRNA from a stalled ribosome. RNAcentral also lists the same sequence under 2 other names. The record is from RNAcentral. Lineage: Bacteria; Pseudomonadati; Pseudomonadota; Gammaproteobacteria; Enterobacterales; Enterobacteriaceae.